RNAcentral lists this ribosomal RNA (468 nucleotides) under uncultured bacterium. RNAcentral describes it as "partial 16S ribosomal RNA". It matches the Rfam family "Bacterial small subunit ribosomal RNA", at positions 28 to 507 of the family's 1533-position model. The record is from RNAcentral.
GACGAACGCUGGCGGCGUGCUUAACACAUGCAAGUCGAACGGAAAGGCCCUGCUUUUGUGGGGUGCUCGAGUGGCGAACGGGUGAGUAACACGUGAGUAACCUGCCCUUGACUUUGGGAUAACUUCAGGAAACUGGGGCUAAUACCGGAUAGGAGCUCCUGCUGCAUGGUGGGGGUUGGAAAGUUUCGGCGGUUGGGGAUGGACUCGCGGCUUAUCAGCUUGUUGGUGGGGUAGUGGCUUACCAAGGCUUUGACGGGUAGCCGGCCUGAGAGGGUGACCGGCAAAAUUGGGAAUGAGAAACGGCCAAGAAUCCUACGGGAGGAAGCAGGGGGGAAUAUUGAAAAAUGGGCGGAAGCCUGAUGCAGCAACGCCGCGUGGGGGAUGAGGGCCUUCGGGUGGUAAACCGCUUUCGCCGGUGAAGAAGGGUGAGUGACGGUAAUGGGUAAAGAAGCACCGGCUAACUACGUG